UGAGUGUAGUGGGUUUGAGGCUUUGUGGAAGAACAAAAGCCACCUGAGGAGAAGAACAAAUAGUCCCGGAAAAAGCAGCAGAACUCUAAAGGUUACCACGGUAACAGCUUUCAUAGUAGCUCAAUCAAGCAGCUACCUGGAGGAGCAGCAGCAACUGAACCUUCUAGAAGGCAGCAGCUUUAAGGCUGCUAUGCCACCGGAAGACAGCUACCUGUAAAGUCAGCCACCAGCAGUUCCGAGACACACAGCCACAGUGACCUUCAGAAAUAACAGCAACCACCAUCUCCGGCACCGGCACCACUGAGACAGAGCAGAAGGACCUAAGAUGAGUCAGAGGGAUUUUGGUGUGAGAGUCUGAAACCUUAUCCAUAGACGCGUCCUCCAAACCGGAACAGAGACUUUCCCAGAUUAGAAGGCAGAAAAAGAAGACUCUGGAGGACAUGUUCAAUGAGUUAAUGCAUGCCUCUGAGAGUGACAAGACGGAGCUCAGCGCAUGGAGGAUUGCACUGUCCGACAGCCUGCACAAUGACUGAGAGGACAGGAGAGCAUGCAGGGAACACGAGCGUGACACGCAGGACAAAACGGUGCAGAUUAUGAGGGAGCAGACAUGUUGAGGUGUCUGGGUGAGGUUCAAGGCAGCUGGACACUAGAGAACCAUUGAAGCCUAUGCUGCCAUCGUCGCCAAGUUCCAUAACUUCCUCUCCCAGGCAUCCUAGGAUGAAGGGUGGGGGUGGGGGGAGAGUCCAGUAUCCCUUGCACUCAACUCCAGGGGAGUAUACAAGGACCAGAAGGCGCCCAUUCCCACACCUUUGAUUGUUAUUGCAAUGCAAUUGUAAGCAAGCUGUCCU
Long non-coding RNA from Mauremys mutica (yellowpond turtle), 848 nucleotides. RefSeq lists it as uncharacterized. Lineage: Eukaryota; Metazoa; Chordata; Testudines; Geoemydidae. The record is from RefSeq and is a predicted model, not a curated record. The transcript is spliced from 3 exons.